RNAcentral lists this small nucleolar RNA (191 nucleotides) under Pichia kudriavzevii. The record is from RNAcentral. Lineage: Eukaryota; Fungi; Ascomycota; Pichiomycetes; Pichiales; Pichiaceae.
CCGCCCUCUGCCUCGCUCGGUCACAAUAUUGCAGUUUGUGAUCUUGAGCUGGAUGUUGUUCAAAUAGUUGGUUUCACUUAUGAAAUCAGAACAAACAAUGGGCUAUAUUGAUGUUAAAUCAUGUUCUUCUUUGAGUGCGCUUUCACCACGGCAUGCCAAUGGUGAAACUGUAAUUACAGAACUUGACAUUU